Molecule: long non-coding RNA, 372 nt
Filed under: Bos taurus (domestic cattle)
Lineage: Eukaryota; Metazoa; Chordata; Mammalia; Artiodactyla; Bovidae
Description: long non-coding RNA NONBTAT018022
Source: RNAcentral
GUACCAGCACAGUGACUCAUUUUUAUCCUUCCUUCCUAAUUUCCAAGCCCUGUCAGAGACUUGUGCUUCUCCAAUAUGUAAAUAUUUCAAAGUCAACAUAAGCCCAGAACCCACUAUCUCCAGAGGCUGAUUCUAUUGCAGUUCGUUUCCCAGUGCCUCCCACAGUCUCCAGGGCCCUAAUGAUCAAGGGAGGAGGGACUACUGUUGCUUGGCUACUGUCUUGGAUGAUGCGGAAUGUCCAGAUUUAUGCCAUGGAACGAUCAAUCAGAACGCAGUGUGGCAAAGGGAUUGAAUAGACUAGACUAGCUGUAGGGAGGGCAUUUUUUGAUCUAAUUAUACUAAUAGAGGUAAGAGGUGAUAGAGGAAGGGCAU